Molecule: ribosomal RNA, 1695 nt
Filed under: Triticum aestivum (bread wheat)
Lineage: Eukaryota; Viridiplantae; Streptophyta; Magnoliopsida; Poales; Poaceae
Description: partial small subunit ribosomal RNA
Source: RNAcentral
AUGGUGAAGCUUCUUGCAGAAUUUAAUCCUGAGAUUGCCAAAGUUGUGUUGGGAAAUGCUCCAUACGGCGCAAAAUACACAUCACAUGAUAUCCAGAAUGAGAUCUUGAGUAUAUUUGCAUCUAAAAUCAGCAAGCAUAUUCGUGAGGAAGUUGGAGAUUAUAAGUAUUCUAUUUUAGUGGAUGAAACAUGUGAUGCAUCAAAGAGAGAGCAAAUGGCGUUGGUUAUUAGGUUUGCUGAUAAAGGUGGUAUUUUGCAAGAGAGAUUCUUUGAUUUGAUACAUGUAGCAAACACGAGGUCAUUGACACCGAAAAAUGAGUUGAGCUUUGUUUUGUCAAACAACGGUUUUGAUAUUCAGAACCUUCGAGAACAAGGUUAUGACGGCGCUAGUAACAUGAGAGGCGAGUUAAAUGGAUUGCAAGCUCUUUUCCUCCAAGAAUGCCCAUAUGCUUAUUAUGUCCAUUGUUAUGCCCAUCGCUUGCAACUUGCUCUAGUUGAUGCAUCUAAAGAAGUGGUUCCUGUCUCCCAGUUCUUUCAGAAAUUGAUAUUUAUCAUAAACACGGUUGACUCAUCUUCAAAGCGCCAUGACGAGCUUCAUCUUGCCCAACUAGUUGAACUAGAAAAUGGAAUCUCUAAUGCUAGCAUCGAGACAGGUCAAGGGGCAAAUCAAAUCCGUUCACUUAAGCGACCAGGAGACACAAGGUGGGGUUCUCAUUUUGGUUCAGUUUAUAGCCUUAUGAAGAUGUUUGGUCCAGUUUGUUCAGUUAUCCAAGAUAUAGCCGCCGAUGGAUCAAUUGGCUCAAUUCGUGCAGAUGCAGACACUUCUUUUGGCUACUUGUCCUCAUUUGAGUUCAUUUUUAUCUUAUGUUUAAUGAAGGAAAUCUUUGAAAUAACAGAAUUGCUUGGCCAAGCUUUACAAAAGAAAUCACAAGAUAUUGUGAAUGUUGUCUGCCUAGUUUCCUCAACAAAACAAUGUCUUCAGGAGUUGAGAUCAGAUGAUGGCUACCAAGUAUUUAUUACUACGGUUGUUGAAUUUUGUCUAAACCAUUCCAUUGACAUUCCAGACUUUGAGGAAACAUACAUCAUGCGUGGUGGUCGUGCUCGUCGUCAACCUGAUCAGUUCACCAAGGAGCAUUACUUUCGAGUGGAAAUUUUCUUUUCAACACUUGACACUCAACUAUUUGAAUUAAAUCGAAGAUUCAAUGAUAAGGUAAUGGAUCUUCUAACCAUUAGCGCCACCUUGAUUCCUACAAACAAAUUCAGAGGAUUCAAAGCUAGUGAUAUAUGUGAGAUGGUGAAAAAGUACUACCCAGCAGAUUUUCCCCAAGAUAUUUAUGGAUUACAACAGCAACUUAAGCACUUUGUUUCAGAUGCUUCCAAGGAUGAUGAUUUGAAAAACAUAUCUACCUUAAUUGAUCUAUGUCAAUGCCUUGUGGAGAUAGGAAGACACACCGUCUACAAUUUGGUUGACAGAUUACUUCGGUUGCUCAUUACCCUUCCAGUUUCUACAGCCAGUGCUGAACGCGCAUUUUCUAGUAUGAAGAUCAUUAAGACAAGAUUGCGCAAUAAGAUGGAAGAUGAGAAUCUGGCUAAUAACUUGUUAGUACACAUAGAGGGUGGAAUUUUGGAGAACUACAGCCAUGAAGAUGCCAUUGCAGAUUUUAUAAGCAAGAAGGAUCGGAGAGUUGAUUUCUAG